RNAcentral lists this ribosomal RNA (113 nucleotides) under Microcaldota archaeon. Lineage: Archaea; Nanobdellati; Microcaldota. The record is from RNAcentral.
UCAAACGGUAACUGGAGCAGGGAAACGCCCGAUCCCAUUCCGAACUCGGAAGCUAAGCCUGCUCACGACAUGUUGGUACUGCCCUCGGGUGGGAAGGCAUGUUUCUGUUUGGC